GUGCUAAGGUAGCAUAAUCAUUUGUUUCUUAAUUGGAGGCUAGAAUGAAAGGUUGAACUAACUUUACAGGUUUGUUUAGCUACAUAUUAUAUUUAAGUCAAGGUAAGAAUUCUUUGAUCUUCUAGGGGACGAUAAGACCCUAGAAGCUUUAUAAAUAUAAGGGAUUAUAGUUUAAGUUAAUUUAUUUUACUGGGGCGGUAAUAGUGCAUAAACUAUUAAAUUUUUGUGGGAUCCUUAAAAUAAAGAUAGAUCGUAUAAGUUACUUUAGGGGUAACAGUGUUAUAUUUUUGGAGAGAUCUUAUCGAUAAAUAUGUUUACAACCUCGAUGUUGAAUUA
Molecule: ribosomal RNA, 336 nt
Filed under: Micruropus wahlii
Lineage: Eukaryota; Metazoa; Arthropoda; Malacostraca; Amphipoda; Micruropodidae
Description: partial 16S ribosomal RNA
Rfam family: Bacterial large subunit ribosomal RNA
Source: RNAcentral